This 434-nucleotide ribosomal RNA is filed under the name uncultured Lachnospiraceae bacterium. RNAcentral's name for it is "partial 16S ribosomal RNA". It matches the Rfam family "Bacterial small subunit ribosomal RNA", at positions 341 to 792 of the family's 1533-position model. Lineage: Bacteria; Bacillati; Bacillota; Clostridia; Lachnospirales; Lachnospiraceae. The record is from RNAcentral.
ACGGAAGGCAGCAGUGGGGAAUAUUGCACAAUGGGCGAAAGCCUGAUGCAGCGACGCCGCGUGAGUGAAGAAGUAUCUCGGUAUGUAAAGCUCUAUCAGCAGGGAAGAAAAUGACGGUACCUGACAAAGAAGCCCCGGCUAACUACGUGCCAGCAGCCGCGGUAAUACGUAGGGGGCAAGCGUUAUCCGGAUUUACUGGGUGUAAAGGGAGCGUAGACGGUUUGGCAAGUCUGAAGUGAAAUGCGGGGGCUCAACUCCUGAACUGCUUUGGAAACUGUCGAACUAGAGUGCAGGAGAGGUAAGUGGAAUUCCUAGUGUAGCGGUGAAAUGCGUAGAUAUUAGGAGGAACACCAGUGGCGAAGGCGGCUUACUGGACUGUAACUGACGUUGAGGCUCGAAAGCGUGGGGAGCAAACAGGAUUAGAUACCCUGGUA